This 501-nucleotide ribosomal RNA is filed under the name uncultured bacterium. Its description in RNAcentral is "partial 16S ribosomal RNA". It matches the Rfam family "Bacterial small subunit ribosomal RNA", at positions 30 to 523 of the family's 1533-position model. The record is from RNAcentral.
AUUGAACGCUGGCGGCAGGCUUAACACAUGCAAGUCGAGCGGGGAAGGGUAGCUUGCUACCUGACCUAGCGGCGGACGGGUGAGUAAUGCUUAGGGAUCUGCCUAUUAGUGGGGGACAACAUUCCGAAAGGAAUGCUAAUACCGCAUACGCCCUACGGGGGAAAGCAGGGGAUCUUCGGACCUUGCGCUAAUAGAUGAGCCUAAGUCAGAUUAGCUAGUUGGUGGGGUAAAGGCCUACCAAGGCGACGAUCUGUAGCGGGUCUGAGAGGAUGAUCCGCCACACUGGGACUGAGACACGGCCCAGACUCCUACGGGAGGCAGCAGUGGGGAAUAUUGGACAAUGGGCGAAAGCCUGAUCCAGCCAUGCCGCGUGUGUGAAGAAGGCCUUUUGGUUGUAAAGCACUUUAAGCGAGGAGGAGGCUACUUGGAUUAAUACUCUAGGAUAGUGGACGUUACUCGCAGAAUAAGCACCGGCUAACUCUGUGCCAGCCGCCGCCGUAA